AGUGAACGCUGGCGGUAGGCCUAACACAUGCAAGUCGAACGGCAGCACAGUAAGAGCUUGCUCUUACGGGUGGCGAGUGGCGGACGGGUGAGGAAUACAUCGGAAUCUACUUUUUCGUGGGGGAUAACGUAGGGAAACUUACGCUAAUACCGCAUACGACCUACGGCUGAAAGCAGGGGAUCUUCGGACCUUGCGCGAUUCAAUGAGCCGAUGUCGGAUUAGCUAGUUGGCGGGGUAAAGGCCCACCAAGGCGACGAUCCGUAGCUGAUCUGAGAGGAUGAUCAGCCACACUGGAACUGAGACACGGUCCAGACUCCUACGGGAGGCAGCAGUAGGGAAUAUUGGACAAUGGGCGCAAGCCUGAUCCAGCCAUACCGCGUGGGUGAAGAAGGCCUUCGGGUCGUAAAGCUCUUUUGUUAGGGAAGAAAAGCAGCAGGUGAAUACCCCGCUGUUCUGACGGUACCCAAAGAAUAAGCACCGGCUAACUUCGUG
Molecule: ribosomal RNA, 492 nt
Filed under: uncultured bacterium
Lineage: Bacteria
Description: partial 16S ribosomal RNA
Rfam family: Bacterial small subunit ribosomal RNA
Source: RNAcentral